Non-coding RNA from Phalacrocorax carbo (great cormorant), 441 nucleotides. The record is from RefSeq and is a predicted model, not a curated record. NCBI's taxonomy places the organism in Eukaryota, Metazoa, Chordata, Aves, Suliformes, Phalacrocoracidae.
GUGGGCACGGGUGACAAACGGGUGACAAAAUGGCUCUGGGUGGGCACGAGUGACAACAAACGGGUGACAAAAUGGCUGUGGGUGACAACAAACGGGUGACAAAAUGGCUCUGGGUGGACACAGGUGACAACAAACAGGUGACAAGAUGGCUCUGGGUGACAACAAACGGGUGACAAAAUGGCUGUCGGUGGAUACGGGUGACAACAAAUGGGUGACAAAAUGGCUCUGGGUGACAACAAACGGGUGACAAUGGCUGUCGGUGGACAAGGGUGACAACAAACGGGUGACAAAAUGGCUGUGGGUGCGCAGGGGGUGACAGCAAAUGGGUGACAAAAUGGCUCUGGGCGGACACGGGUGACAAUAUAUCGGUGACAGAAGGGCUCUGGGUGACACUAAACGGGUGACAGUGGUUCUGGGUGACAAUAAAGCGGUGACACAGUG